AGAAUGAACGUUGGCGGCGUGGAUUAGGCAUGCAAGUCGAACGGGCCUGGUAGCAAUAUCAGGUCAGUGGCGUAAGGGUGAGUAAGGCGACGGCAACCAACCCCAUGGUUGGGCAUAGCCGCGGGAAACUGCGGGUAAUUCCCAGCGAUGUUCGUACCGGGCAUCCGGUGUGAACCAAAGUUCUGGCGCCGUGGGACGGGCCGUCGUGGUAUUAGGUAGUUGGCGGGGUAAUGGCCCACCAAGCCUCUGAUGCCUACCGGGCGUGCGAGCGUGGCCCGGCACACUGGGACUGAGACACUGCCCCAGACUCCUACGGGAGGCUGCAGUCGAGAAUCUUCGGCAAUGGGCGCAAGCCUGACCGAGCGACGCCGCGUGGAGGAUGAAGGCCUUCGGGUUGUAAACUCCUGUCGAGGGGGAGGAAGGGGUACCUUGACCUAUCCCUGGAGGAGCACGGGCUAAGUUCGCGCCAGCAGCCGC
RNAcentral lists this ribosomal RNA (477 nucleotides) under uncultured bacterium. RNAcentral's name for it is "SSU rRNA". It matches the Rfam family "Bacterial small subunit ribosomal RNA", at positions 26 to 518 of the family's 1533-position model. The record is from RNAcentral.